GGCGAACGGGUGAGUAACACGUGAGCAACCUGCCCUAGGCUUUGGGAUAACCCUCGGAAACGGGGGCUAAUACCGAAUAUUACCGUUGACCGCAUGGUUGGUGGUGGAAAGUUUUUCGGCCUGGGAUGGGCUCGCGGCCUAUCAGCUUGUUGGUGGGGUGAUGGCCUACCAAGGCGACGACGGGUAGCCGGCCUGAGAGGGCGACCGGCCACACUGGGACUGAGACACGGCCCAGACUCCUACGGGAGGCAGCAGUGGGGAAUAUUGCACAAUGGGCGGAAGCCUGAUGCAGCGACGCCGCGUGAGGGAUGACGGCCUUCGGGUUGUAAACCUCUUUCAGCAGGGACGAAGCGUAAGUGACGGUACCUGCAGAAGAAGCGCCGGCCAACUACGUGCCAGCAGCCGCGGUAAGACGUAGGGCGCGAGCGUUGUCCGGAUUUAUUGGGCGUAAAGAGCUCGUAGGCGGCUUGUCGCGUCGACUGUGAAAACCCGCAGCUCAACUGCGGGCCUGCAGUCGAUACGGGCAGGCUAGAGUUCGGUAGGGGAGACUGGAAUUCCUGGUGUAGCGGUGAAAUGCGCAGAUAUCAGGAGGAACACCGGUGGCGAAGGCGGGUCUCUGGGCCGAUACUGACGCUGAGGAG
This 641-nucleotide ribosomal RNA is filed under the name Micromonospora sp. I15A-00849. Its description in RNAcentral is "bacterial SSU rRNA". It matches the Rfam family "Bacterial small subunit ribosomal RNA", at positions 97 to 753 of the family's 1533-position model. The record is from RNAcentral. Lineage: Bacteria; Bacillati; Actinomycetota; Actinomycetes; Micromonosporales; Micromonosporaceae.